This 468-nucleotide ribosomal RNA is filed under the name uncultured bacterium. RNAcentral describes it as "partial 16S ribosomal RNA". It matches the Rfam family "Bacterial small subunit ribosomal RNA", at positions 28 to 507 of the family's 1533-position model. The record is from RNAcentral.
GACGAACGCUGGCGGCGUGCUUAACACAUGCAAGUCGAACGGAAAGGCCCUGCUUUUGUGGGGUGCUCGAGUGGCGAACGGGUGAGUAACACGUGAGUAACCUGCCCUUGACUUUGGGAUAACUUCAGGAAACUGGGGCUAAUACCGGAUAGGAGCUCCUGCUGCAUGGUGGGGGUUGGAAAGUUUCGGCGGUUGGGGAUGGACUCGCGGGUUAUCAGCUUGUUGGUGGGGUAGUGGCGUACCAAGGCUUUGACGGGUAGCCGGCCUGGGAGGGUGACCGGCCACAUUGGGACUGAGAUACGGCCCAGACUCCUACGGGAGGCAGCAGUGGGGAAUAUUGCACAAUGGGCGGAAGCCUGAUGCAGCAACGCCGCGUGCGGGAUGACGGCCUUCGGGUUGUAAACCGCUUUCGCCUGUGACGAAGCGUGAGUGACGGUAAUGGGUAAAGAAGCACCGGCUAACUACGUG